GACGAACGCUGGCGGCGUGCCUAAUACAUGCAAGUUGAGCGCUGAAGGUUGGUACUUGUACCAACUGGAUGAGCAGCGAACGGGUGAGUAACGCGUGGGGAAUCUGCCUUUGAGCGGGGGACAACAUUUGGAAACGAAUGCUAAUACCGCAUAAAAACUUUAAACACAAGUUUUAAGUUUGAAAGAUGCAAUUGCAUCACUCAAAGAUGAUCCCGCGUUGUAUUAGCUAGUUGGUGAGGUAAAGGCUCACCAAGGCGAUGAUACAUAGCCGACCUGAGAGGGUGAACGGCCCCAUUGGGACUGAGACACGGCCCAAACUCCUACGGGAGGCAGCAGUAGGGAAUCUUCGGCAAUGGACGAAAGUCUGACCGAGCAACGCCGCGUGAGUGAAGAAGGUUUUCGGAUCGUAAAACUCUGUUGGUAGAGAAGAACGUUGGUGAGAGUGGAAAGCUCAUCAAGUGACGGUAACUACCCAGAAAGGGACGGCUAGCUACGUG
This 497-nucleotide ribosomal RNA is filed under the name uncultured bacterium. RNAcentral describes it as "partial 16S ribosomal RNA". It matches the Rfam family "Bacterial small subunit ribosomal RNA", at positions 28 to 507 of the family's 1533-position model. The record is from RNAcentral.